CCCGGAUGACGUCAUCGUCCGGGGCACAAACAGUUAAACGCAUGGGUUGAGACUGCAGCGGCGGAAGUUAACGCACUGUUUGUGGUGCUUCUCCUCAUGUCGCUGUAUUCGAAGGCCAAGCAUGACUUCUGGGCGUGAGACUCCCUCGCCACAUCAAGUGGAUUACUAAUGGCCUUUAUAAACUUAUUGAGACGGCGGUCGUCAAUUCCUUCCUGGUGCACAAAGCACUGGGAGGGACGAAGGGGCUCGUUCGCGAGAUCCUGCCGGAUUUCCACCAGUUCACGAGGGUGGAAAGUACCGUUUGUGGGCCAUACCUGGGAGAGGGCCGUCUACAUGGUGGACAUCAUGUGCAUACGCAUGUGCUAGCACCUGGCCCAUGUUAUCGGUGUUGUAAAGUCUGCUACGCCUGAGGUGUGCGUAAAGAGACUCGCACAAUGUGCGGCCAUUGUAAAGUGACCUUGUGCCAGUACAAUUGUUUUUAGGCCUACCAUACGCUUGAAAACAGUGCAUGGUGUACAUACAUAAUAAAAUAGAUAUAAUAAUAAUAAAA
Molecule: long non-coding RNA, 550 nt
Organism: Penaeus indicus
Lineage: Eukaryota; Metazoa; Arthropoda; Malacostraca; Decapoda; Penaeidae
Exons: 2
Source: RefSeq, a predicted model, not a curated record